GAUGAAGAACGCAGCGGAAUGCGAUAAGUAAUGUGAAUUGCAGAAUUCAGUGAAUCAUCGAAUCUUUGAACGCACAUUGCGCCCGCUAGUAUUCUGGCGGGCAUGCCUGUCCGAGCGUCAUUUCAACCCUCAAGCCCCCGGGCUUGGUGUUGGGGAUCGGCGAGCCUCCGCGCCCGCCGUCCCCUAAAUCUAGUGGCGGUCUCGCUGUAGCUUCCUCUGCGUAGUAGCACACCUCGCACUGGGAAACAGCGCGGCCACGCCGUUAAACCCCCAACUUCUGAACGUUUGACCUCGGAUCAGGUAGGAAUACCCGCUGAACUUAAGCAUAUCAAUAAGCGGAGGA
RNAcentral lists this unclassified non-coding RNA (343 nucleotides) under soil metagenome. Its description in RNAcentral is "partial contains 5.8S ribosomal RNA, internal transcribed spacer 2, and large subunit ribosomal RNA". The stretch from base 1 to 120 matches the Rfam family "5.8S ribosomal RNA", at positions 35 to 154 of the family's 154-position model. The record is from RNAcentral.